Molecule: ribosomal RNA, 719 nt
Filed under: uncultured bacterium
Lineage: Bacteria
Description: bacterial SSU rRNA
Rfam family: Bacterial small subunit ribosomal RNA
Source: RNAcentral
GGAUUAGAUACCCUGGUAGUCCACGCCCUAAACGAUGUCCACUAGUUGUCGGGUUUUAAUUAACUUGGUAACGCAGCUAACGCGUGAAGUAGACCGCCUGGGGAGUACGGUCGCAAGAUUAAAACUCAAAGGAAUUGACGGGGACCCGCACAAGCGGUGGAUGAUGUGGAUUAAUUCGAUGCAACGCGAAAAACCUUACCUACCCUUGACAUGUACGGAAGGCCGAAGAGAUUUGGUUGUGCUCGAAAGAGAACCGUAACACAGGUGCUGCAUGGCUGUCGUCAGCUCGUGUCGUGAGAUGUUGGGUUAAGUCCCGCAACGAGCGCAACCCUUGUCAUUAGUUGCUACAUUUAGUUGAGCACUCUAAUGAGACUGCCGGUGACAAACCGGAGGAAGGUGGGGAUGACGUCAAGUCCUCAUGGCCCUUAUGGGUAGGGCUUCACACGUCAUACAAUGGUACAUACAGAGGGCCGCCAACCCGCGAGGGGGAGCUAAUCCCAGAAAGUGUAUCGUAGUCCGGAUCGCAGUCUGCAACUCGACUGCGUGAAGUUGGAAUCGCUAGUAAUCGCGGAUCAGCAUGUCGCGGUGAAUACGUUCCCGGGUCUUGUACACACCGCCCGUCACACCAUGGGAGCGGGUUUUACCAGAAGUAGGUAGCUUAACCGCAAGGAGGGCGCUUACCACGGUAGGAUUCGUGACUGGGGUGAAGUCGUAACAAG